Molecule: ribosomal RNA, 468 nt
Filed under: uncultured bacterium
Lineage: Bacteria
Description: partial 16S ribosomal RNA
Rfam family: Bacterial small subunit ribosomal RNA
Source: RNAcentral
GACGAACGCUGGCGGCGUGCUUAACACAUGCAAGUCGAGCGGAAAGGCCCUGCUUUUGUUGGGUGCUCGAGUGGCGAACGCGUGAGUAACACGUGAGUAACACGCCCUUGACUUUGGGGUAACUUCACGAAACACGGGCUAUUACCGGGUAGGAGCUCCUGCUCCAUGGUGGGGGUUGGAAAGUUUCGGCGGUUCGGGCUGGACUCGCGGCUUAUCAGCUUGUUGGUGGGGUAGGUGCUUACCAAGGCUUCGACGGGUAGCCCGCCUUGGAGGGUGAACAGGCACAUUGGGACUGCGAGACGGCCCAGACUCGUACGGGAGGCAGCAGGGGGGAAUAUUGCACAAUGGGCGGAAGCCAGAUGCAGCAACGCCGCGUGCGGGAUGCCGGCCUUCUGGGUGUAAACCGCUUUCGCAUGUGACGAAGCGUGAGUGACGGUAAUGGGUAAAGAAGCACCGGCUAACUACGUG